AAAAGAAGUUGAAGCAAUUGUCUUGCACUUGCAUACAAGAAACUCCAAAUAUCUCUUUGCACAUAUAUGAUUUCUCACUAAUCUAAUAACAGUUAUUAUACAAUUUGUUGUCUCUAGUUUAGAGCUGAGAAGCAAAUUCCUCCUUUUUCCGAUUUUGUUGUAAACACCUUUAAUCUUCUUUAGGCUUGAGGAAGGAUUACUAGGUUGCUUAGUUGGUGUAGUUAGAUGAUUGGGUUUGUGUGCACAAUUUGAAAUGGUAUCUCAGACACAUUGUAAUCUAUCUAGAUCAAAAAGGUUGUGCAGGAUUUGGGAGGAUAUACCAAAUACUAGUGAACUCUCACAAGUUUGUGAGGACCGGAGUAGUCCACCUUGAGUGAACUAGUAUAAUUUGUUGUGUGUCUCAAUCUUCUUUCUAUUCUCUUUUAUUUUCUGUAGAUUGACUUAAUCUACACACCAAGCAUAAGUUUUCAG
Molecule: long non-coding RNA, 471 nt
Filed under: Trifolium pratense (red clover)
Lineage: Eukaryota; Viridiplantae; Streptophyta; Magnoliopsida; Fabales; Fabaceae
Description: long non-coding RNA (TPRA_LNC012910)
Source: RNAcentral